Phrynosoma platyrhinos (Desert horned lizard) is the source of this 71-nucleotide non-coding RNA. The record is from the annotation of a GenBank genome assembly. NCBI's taxonomy places the organism in Eukaryota, Metazoa, Chordata, Lepidosauria, Squamata, Phrynosomatidae.
GCCAGGUGGCAUAGUGGUUUGAACACUGAACUACAACUCUCGAGAUCAGGGUUCAAUUCCCUGCUUGAGCA